This 907-nucleotide ribosomal RNA is filed under the name uncultured bacterium. Its description in RNAcentral is "bacterial SSU rRNA". It matches the Rfam family "Bacterial small subunit ribosomal RNA", at positions 1 to 902 of the family's 1533-position model. The record is from RNAcentral.
CUUAGAGUUUGAUCCUGGCUCAGGAUGAACGCUAGCUACAGGCUUAACACAUGCAAGUCGAGGGGAAACGAUAUCGAAAGCUUGCUUUUGAUGGGCGUCGACCGGCGCACGGGUGAGUAACGCGUAUCCAACCUGCCCACCACUUGGGGAUAACCUUGCGAAAGUAAGACUAAUACCCAAUGACGUCUCUAGAAGACAUCUGAAAGGGAUUAAAGAUUUAUCGGUGAUGGAUGGGGAUGCGUCUGAUUAGCUUGUUGGCGGGGUAACGGCCCACCAAGGCGACGAUCAGUAGGGGUUCUGAGAGGAAGGUCCCCCACAUUGGAACUGAGACACGGUCCAAACUCCUACGGGAGGCAGCAGUGAGGAAUAUUGGUCAAUGGACGAGAGUCUGAACCAGCCAAGUAGCGUGCAGGAUGACGGCCCUAUGGGUUGUAAACUGCUUUUAUAAGGGAAUAAAGUGAGUCUCGUGAGACUUUUUGCAUGUACCUUAUGAAUAAGGACCGGCUAAUUCCGUGCCAGCAGCCGCGGUAAUACGGAAGGUCCGGGCGUUAUCCGGAUUUAUUGGGUUUAAAGGGAGCGUAGGCCGGAGAUUAAGCGUGUUGUGAAAUGUAGACGCUCAACGUCUGCACUGCAGCGCGAACUGGUUUCCUUGAGUACGCACAAAGUGGGCGGAAUUCGUGGUGUAGCGGUGAAAUGCUUAGAUAUCACGAAGAACUCCGAUUGCGAAGGCAGCUCACUGGAGCGCAACUGACGCUGAAGCUCGAAAGUGCGGGUAUCGAACAGGAUUAGAUACCCUGGUAGUCCGCACGGUAAACGAUGGAUGCCCGCUGUUGGUCUGAAUAGGUCAGCGGCCAAGCGAAAGCAUUAAGCAUCCCACCUGGGGAGUACGCCGGCAACGGUGAAACUC